UACGGAGGGUGCGAGCGUUGUUCGGAAUCACUGGGCGUAAAGGGCGUGUAGGCGGUCCGCUAAGUCUGUUGUGAAAGCCCGGGGCUCACCCCCGGAAGGGCAUUGGAAACUGGCGGACUCGAGUCCCGGAGAGGAAGGUGGAAUUCCUGGUGUAGCGGUGAAAUGCGUAGAUAUCAGGAGGAAUACCGGUGGCGAAGGCGGCCUUCUGGACGGUGACUGACGCUGAGACGCGAAAGCGUGGGGAGCAAACAGG
Molecule: ribosomal RNA, 253 nt
Filed under: uncultured bacterium
Lineage: Bacteria
Description: partial 16S ribosomal RNA
Rfam family: Bacterial small subunit ribosomal RNA
Source: RNAcentral